AUGCAUUUCAUUAUUCUCU
This 19-nucleotide small nuclear RNA is filed under the name Arabidopsis thaliana (thale cress). Its description in RNAcentral is "snRNA_15547". Lineage: Eukaryota; Viridiplantae; Streptophyta; Magnoliopsida; Brassicales; Brassicaceae. The record is from RNAcentral.